Molecule: ribosomal RNA, 444 nt
Filed under: uncultured bacterium
Lineage: Bacteria
Description: bacterial SSU rRNA
Rfam family: Bacterial small subunit ribosomal RNA
Source: RNAcentral
CCAGACUCCUACGGGAGGCAGCAGUGGGGAAUAUUGCACAAUGGGGGGAACCCUGAUGCAGCGACGCCGCGUGAGUGAAGAAGUAUUUCGGUAUGUAAAGCUCUAUCAGCAGGGAAGAAAAUGACGGUACCUGACUAAGAAGCCCCGGCUAACUACGUGCCAGCAGCCGCGGUAAUACGUAGGGGGCAAGCGUUAUCCGGAUUUACUGGGUGUAAAGGGAGCGUAGACGGCCAGACAAGUCAGAAGUGAAAGCCCAGGGCUCAACCCUGGGACUGCUUUUGAAACUACCGGGCUGGAGUGCCGGAGAGGUAGGCGGAAUUCCUAGUGUAGCGGUGAAAUGCGUAGAUAUUAGGAGGAACACCAGUGGCGAAGGCGGCCUACUGGACGGUGACUGACGCUGAGGCUCGAAAGCGUGGGGAGCAAACAGGAUUAGAUACCCCAGUA